CGCCUGUAAUCCUAGCACUUUGGGAGGCCGAGGCGGGCAGAUUACGAGGUCAGGAGAUUGAGACCAUCCUGGCUAACAUGGUGAAACCCCGUCUCUACUAAAAAUACAAAAAAUUAGCCAGGCGUGGUGGCGGGCGCCUGUGGUCCCAGCUAAUCGGGAGGCUGAGGCGGGAGAAUGGCGUGAACCCGGGAGGCGGAGCUUGCAGUGAGCCG
This 212-nucleotide long non-coding RNA is filed under the name Homo sapiens (human). RNAcentral describes it as "HSALNT0380936". The record is from RNAcentral. Lineage: Eukaryota; Metazoa; Chordata; Mammalia; Primates; Hominidae.